Telopea speciosissima is the source of this 386-nucleotide long non-coding RNA. RefSeq lists it as uncharacterized. The record is from RefSeq and is a predicted model, not a curated record. Lineage: Eukaryota; Viridiplantae; Streptophyta; Magnoliopsida; Proteales; Proteaceae. The transcript has 2 exons.
GAGAAAGAAAAGGAAGCUGGAUUGGAGGAGUCUAAGUCAAGCAUAAAUAAAUCUGGGACUAUGAGGGUCAAUCCUUCCAUUUAUAAAACAGGCAUGGAUUCAAAAGCACUGAGACACGCAAGGCUAUCCUUGCUGCUGCAGGUGGCAAACUUGCAUUCAGCUUGAAAUAGAAAUCUAAACUUGAGGCAGCCCCGUUAAGUUGGGUGCUGAUGAGGAUGAAGAUGAAGGGGAUGCGAAAAUGGGUCAAGAGAUGGACCGCCAAAGCGGCAGAGUUGGAUCAACCAAAUGCAUCCUGCUCCAUUGCCAUGUAAAGGGGAUGUUGCACCACCUUCCCCAAGCGAUCCUGGAGUGAAGAAAGUUGCAGACAAAUUAGCAAGUUUUGUAGC